AUUGAACGCUGGCGGCAGGCUUAACACAUGCAAGUCGAGCGAGCGGCGGACGGGCGAGUAGUUUCGGGGAAACUGCCUGACGUAGGGGUAUAACGGCUGGAAACGGUCGCUAAUACCGCAUAACACCAGAUGUGCCCAGAUGGGAUUAGCGAGUAGGUGGGGUAAAGGCUCACCUAGGCGACGAUCCCUAGCUGGUCUGAGAGGAUGACCAGCCACACUGGAACUGAGACACGGUCCAGACUCCUACGGGAGGCAGCAGUGGGGAAUAUUGGAAAAUGGGCGCAAGCCUGAUGCAGCCAUGCCGCGUGUGUGAAGAAGGCCUUCGGGUUGUAAAGCACUUUCAGCGAGGAGGCGUUACUCGCAGAAGAAGCAACGGCUAACUCCGUGCCAGCAGCCGCGGUAAUAC
RNAcentral lists this ribosomal RNA (406 nucleotides) under uncultured bacterium. RNAcentral's name for it is "partial 16S ribosomal RNA". It matches the Rfam family "Bacterial small subunit ribosomal RNA", at positions 30 to 526 of the family's 1533-position model. The record is from RNAcentral.